GAUGAACGCUGGCGGCGUGCCUAAUACAUGCAAGUCGAGCGAACGGACGAGAAGCUUGCUUCUCUGAUGUUAGCGGCGGACGGGUGAGUAACACGUGGAUAACCUACCUAUAAGACUGGGAUAACUUCGGGAAACCGUAGCUAAUACCGGAUAAUAUUUUGAACCGCAUGGUUCAAAAGUGAAAGACGGUCUUGCUGGCACUUAUAGAUGGAUCCGCGCUGCAUUAGCUAGUUGGUAAGGUAACGGCUUACCAAGGCAACGAUGCAUAGCCGACCUGAGAGGGUGAUAGGCCACACUGGAACUGAGACACGGUCCAGACUCCUACGGGAGGCAGCAGUAGGGAAUCUUCCGCAAUGGGCGAAAGCCUGACGGAGCAACGCCGAGUGAGUGAUGAAGGUCUUCGGAUCGUAAAACUCUGUUAUUAGGGAAGAACAUAUGUGUAAGUAACUGUGCACAUCUUGACGGUACCUAAUCAGAAAGCCCCGGCUAACUACGUG
RNAcentral lists this ribosomal RNA (497 nucleotides) under uncultured bacterium. Its description in RNAcentral is "partial 16S ribosomal RNA". It matches the Rfam family "Bacterial small subunit ribosomal RNA", at positions 28 to 507 of the family's 1533-position model. The record is from RNAcentral.